Molecule: ribosomal RNA, 465 nt
Filed under: uncultured bacterium
Lineage: Bacteria
Description: partial 16S ribosomal RNA
Rfam family: Bacterial small subunit ribosomal RNA
Source: RNAcentral
GACGAACGCUGGCGGCGUGCUUAACACAUGCAAGUCGAACGGAAAGGCCCCUUUGGGGGUACUCGAGUGGCGAACGGGUGAGUAACACGUGAGUAACCUGCCCUUGACUUCGGGAUAACUUCAGGAAACUGGGGCUAAUACCGGAUAGGAAUCCUUGCUGCAUGGUGGGGGUUGGAAAGCUUCGGCGGUUUUGGAUGGACUCGCGGCUUAUCAGCUUGUUGGUGGGGUAGUGGCUUACCAAGGCUUUGACGGGUAGCCGGCCUGAGAGGGCGACCGGCCACAUUGGGACUGAGAUACGGCCCAGACGCCUACGGGAGGCAGCAGUGGGGAAGAUUGCACAAGGGGCGGAAGCCUGAUGCAGCAACGCCGCGUGCGGGAUGACGGCCUUCGGGUUGUAAACCGCUUUCAGCAGGGGCGAAGCUUGUGGUGACGGUACCUGCAGAAGAAGCACCGGCUAACUACGUG